RNAcentral lists this transfer RNA (85 nucleotides) under Dissulfuribacter thermophilus. It matches the Rfam family "tRNA". From Rfam's summary of the family: Transfer RNA (tRNA) molecules are approximately 80 nucleotides in length. The record is from Rfam by way of RNAcentral. Lineage: Bacteria; Pseudomonadati; Thermodesulfobacteriota; Dissulfuribacteria; Dissulfuribacterales; Dissulfuribacteraceae.
GCCCGGGUGGUGGAAUUGGUAGACACAAGGGACUUAAAAUCCCUUGGAGCUUUGCUCCGUGCGAGUUCGAGUCUCGCCCCGGGCA